RNAcentral lists this unclassified non-coding RNA (556 nucleotides) under Leptinotarsa decemlineata (Colorado potato beetle). RNAcentral describes it as "uncharacterized LOC111514479, transcript variant X2". The record is from RNAcentral. Lineage: Eukaryota; Metazoa; Arthropoda; Insecta; Coleoptera; Chrysomelidae.
AAGACUUCCCCGAAGCCGGCGAAACGACAGCUGUCGAGCCUGAAGCACAAAUCGUCUAGAGACCACACCACAGUCGAGGAUCACACUACGAAUGAAUCGGCUUUCGGCAAUCUCUCCAUCGAAAAACUGUACGAGAACGUGUUCAAAGAAAGUGCAGAUCCUGGACAGCAAAACGCUACAUUGAACGAGUCAAGGAAAGGUACCAAAACCGAAAAGGUGUUCCCGGACGGUUCGAAGGAAACAAAAUACAGUAACGGGAACACCAAAACUGUCUCGCCGGACGGUAAUCUGAUUAUUGUACAUUACUACAACGGAGACAUAAAGGAAACGAACUUGACGGAGCACACCAUAAAAUAUUACUAUGCCGAGACUGAGACUUGGCACACUCAAUUCGGGGAUGGAUCGGAGCUGUUGGAGUAUUCCAAGUAAGUUUUGGAGAAGUCUUUAAAUGCUCCCAAUGAAUAAUAAUGGUCACUUCCCACAGCUACCAUUUUGUCCACUCUUCAUUACUGCCAGGUAUCAGGUGCCGACUCCACAUUACUUUGUAUUUCAACUG